ACAAGAUGGUAGAAGGAAAAAGGAAUACCGGAAUGCAGAAUGCAGAGAAAGAGAACUGCAGAUAAACGAUAAGGCAGAAAGAUGCUGCCUGGCCUGCUGAGUUCCUCCAGCAUUUUGUGUGUGUUGCUUGGAUUUCCAGCAUCUGCAGAUUUUCUUUUUGUUUCCUUCUGGUACUUCAUGAUGUCCCUGGGUGGCAUACGAACACAAGCUUUCCGCCUUAUCUCUUGUUAUAUGAGUUUGCUGAGUCCGAAGGUUAAAGCUAAAGGUCGGGGAGUCUGGAGGUCAGAGCCAAAGGUCAGCGAGUCCAGCGGUCAGUGAGACUGGAGGUCAAAGCUAAAGGUCGGCAAAUCCGGAGGUCAAAGUCCCUCGG
Molecule: long non-coding RNA, 370 nt
Organism: Hypanus sabinus (Atlantic stingray)
Lineage: Eukaryota; Metazoa; Chordata; Chondrichthyes; Myliobatiformes; Dasyatidae
Exons: 3
Source: RefSeq, a predicted model, not a curated record